Molecule: non-coding RNA, 31 nt
Filed under: Rattus norvegicus (Norway rat)
Lineage: Eukaryota; Metazoa; Chordata; Mammalia; Rodentia; Muridae
Source: RNAcentral
UGAGUUCUAAGGUGAAAGUCGAUGAUUUUUU